Long non-coding RNA from Sander lucioperca (pikeperch), 1578 nucleotides. The record is from Ensembl. NCBI's taxonomy places the organism in Eukaryota, Metazoa, Chordata, Actinopteri, Perciformes, Percidae.
CGGUAACAAGAGGAAAAAGAGGAAGGAGGAGGAGGGCCUGCAGCAGAGAGGCGAGCAGAGGAAUACAUGGAGGAAGAGAGAGCAGAAGAAGAAGGGAUGGAUUGAUCACCAUUGGGAAAGAAAAACGGAGCAAGAGUGUGUUUUAUUUCGGAGAGAUGAUGGUGAUGAUGAUGAUGAUGAUGAUGAUGAUGAUGACAGCGGCAGAGAGAGGGACGGAUCAAUAAUCCUCUUCAUCCCUCCAUCACCUCUGCAGAAACCUAAUCUGGAUCUCCAUCCAGUGAGAUCAAACUGAAGCUGACUCCCAGAUGCCUCGCUGCAUCAGGGAAGAAGACAAACAUCUGACAUGACCUUUUCCCUAAGCGCAUCACUUCCUGUGACCGAGCACCGGCAGGACGCCGGGCCGAGUCCUGCAGCUGAACCUACGCUCUCCACUUCCACAACGAUCACCAGGAGAUGAUCUUCCACCAACUUUACUUUUUCUUUCUGUGGAUCUUUGGGUUUAUUUCUCAAAGUCUGCUUGUUGACGGAGAGUGUCUGAGCUGACUUCUCGUCUCGUUUCCUGCUCAGAAUACUCUUCAUUUGGAGAAAUACCACAGCGGUUUAUAAUCUGACCUGGGAUUUUAUUUUGACGCACAUCAGGGUAAGCGCUGGUUUGUACGCUCUGUUUGGAAGUUCGUACACGGUGUACAGAUUGCUUUCCACUUGGAAAAACUCUUCACAGACAAUCUUUCAGUCGCUCAACAAUGAUAACGUGUGAUUUCUUUGACGCAGAGCGACAAAUAAAGUCUCUGCCAGCUGUGAUUUCCACAUCUGCUUCCUGGAAACAAAUGUGAUUUCCUGCAUGAAGUGCAAAGAGUGGAUACACCUGACUCACUGACAAACACAAAGACAAACUGUUUCCGUAGGCGUGUUCUCUGUGUUUGUUGUGUUUUUAACACUGUGAUGGGUGUGACCCCCGACAGAAACUCCUGACUGACCGAACUGGGGGAUGCUCCACGACUUGAUGAAGCUCUCUGAUUGGAGCAAGCGAGGACAAGCGCCAUCUUGAUCUUUACAUCAGAUCUAGAAGAAGAAGUCCUCUCCCCCCCCACUUACCUCUGGUGGGGGGGAGGGUGAAGUGUAGUUUAGUUUUGAGGGUAUAGGGCUCCGGGCCAGUGGGCAUAGUUAUUUAGACUUUUAGGUUGUAGAUUAGACUUUAGAGUUCGUAGAAGAGUCCAGUUUCUUCUCUGUUGUGUUGGGAUUAAGUUAAGUAAUAAGUAGUCGUAGUUUUGGUCCAGAUUCUUCUCUGUGUUGAGAUUUAGAAUAUUAAUGAUUAUAACUUUAUUUAUAAAGCAGCUUUACAAAGUGUUUUGACGGACAAAGCAACACAAAUGCACGAUCUCCAGAGAGUUAGCAUUUAGCUCUGCAUCAGAUGAAGUUGUGACUCAUUUCAUGCAGAAGUUUAGCAUUUAGCUUCAGCGUACAAACUGGAUCUAACAGCCGACAGCGUUUAGGCUCCUUCGUUUAGACGUUAGCAUAGGAAACCUUAGUCACGGCUGUCAUUUAGCCUGACGUUUUCUCACCGUUAGCCUGCGUGCU